AGGUGGCAAGCGUUGUCCGGAUUUACUGGGCGUAAAGGGAGCGUAGGUGGAUUCUUAAGUGAGAUGUGAAAUACCCGGGCUUAACUUGGGUGCUGCAUUUCAAACUGGGAAUCUAGAGUGCAGGAGAGGAAAGUGGAAUUCCUAGUGUAGCGGUGAAAUGCGUAGAGAUUAGGAAGAACACCAGUGGCGAAGGCGACUUUCUGGACUGUAACUGACACUGAGGCUCGAAAGCGUGGGGAGCAAAC
This 245-nucleotide ribosomal RNA is filed under the name uncultured bacterium. RNAcentral describes it as "partial 16S ribosomal RNA". It matches the Rfam family "Bacterial small subunit ribosomal RNA", at positions 529 to 773 of the family's 1533-position model. The record is from RNAcentral.